AUGAACGCUGGCGGCGUGCCUAAUACAUGCAAGUCGAGCGAACAGACGAGGAGCUUGCUCCUCUGACGUUAGCGGCGGACGGGUGAGUAACACGUGGAUAACCUACCUAUAAGACUGGGAUAACUUCGGGAAACCGGAGCUAAUACCGGAUAAUAUAUUGAACCGCAUGGUUCAAUAGUGAAAGACGGUUUUGCUGUCACUUAUAGAUGGAUCCGCGCCGCAUUAGCUAGUUGGUAAGGUAACGGCUUACCAAGGCGACGAUGCGUAGCCGACCUGAGAGGGGGUCCGGCCACAGUGGAGAGGAGCCACGGGCGGCACCCAUACGGGGGGGCACAGUGGGAAACGGUCCGCAAGGGGCGAAGGUCUGAGGGAGAAGCGCAGGGGGAGUGAGAAGGGUUUUGGGUCCGAAAACCUUUUUUUUGGGGAAAAAACAAAUGUGAAAGUAACUAGGCGCGUCUUGACGGGCCAAAAAAGAAAGGCAAGGACAAAGUCGGGC
This 496-nucleotide ribosomal RNA is filed under the name uncultured bacterium. RNAcentral's name for it is "partial 16S ribosomal RNA". It matches the Rfam family "Bacterial small subunit ribosomal RNA", at positions 30 to 508 of the family's 1533-position model. The record is from RNAcentral.